Molecule: long non-coding RNA, 285 nt
Filed under: Carica papaya (papaya)
Lineage: Eukaryota; Viridiplantae; Streptophyta; Magnoliopsida; Brassicales; Caricaceae
Description: long non-coding RNA (CPAP_LNC014039)
Source: RNAcentral
ACUGGACCGGAGCGAUGGUCCGCCGAUUCAUUUGCAAAUGUGAGUCACGGCACCGGGAGUAUUUUUCUUAAUAUAUUUCCAGUAUUCAAUUAAAGCCCAUCACGUGAUGAGAGUGUCAUUGCGAGCAUCUUAAAUAGUAAAAUAACAAAAAACGAGAGGCGGUGGGAGAUCUGUUCAUUUGGGCAGGAGUCGAAAAGGGUCGUUCGACGUUACGCACAAUUGGAACUAUGGUUCGCUGGUUUAUUUGCAAAUGUGAGUCACGAUGCUGGGGUAUUUUACUUGAUA